CAGUAGCCACGGGAAUACGGAGGGUGCAAGCGUUAAUCGGAAUUACUGGGCGUAAAGCGCACGCAGGCGGUUUGUUAAGUCAGAUGUGAAAUCCCCGAGCUUAACUUGGGAACUGCAUUUGAAACUGGCAAGCUAGAGUCUUGUAGAGGGGGGUAGAAUUCCAGGUGUAGCGGUGAAAUGCGUAGAGAUCUGGAGGAAUACCGGUGGCGAAGGCGGCCCCCUGGACAAAGACUGACGCUCAGGUGCGAAAGCGUGGGGAGCAAACAGGAUUAGAUACCCGGGUAGUCCCUGUCUCUUAUAC
RNAcentral lists this ribosomal RNA (301 nucleotides) under uncultured bacterium. RNAcentral describes it as "partial 16S ribosomal RNA". It matches the Rfam family "Bacterial small subunit ribosomal RNA", at positions 509 to 807 of the family's 1533-position model. The record is from RNAcentral.